RNAcentral lists this transfer RNA (85 nucleotides) under Planktothrix serta PCC 8927. Its description in RNAcentral is "tRNA-Ser". It matches the Rfam family "tRNA". Rfam says of the family: Transfer RNA (tRNA) molecules are approximately 80 nucleotides in length. The record is from RNAcentral. Lineage: Bacteria; Bacillati; Cyanobacteriota; Cyanophyceae; Oscillatoriales; Microcoleaceae.
GGAGAGGUGGCAGAGUGGUCGAAUGCGCCUGACUUGAAAUCAGGUGAACUGAAAGGUUCCGGGGGUUCGAAUCCCCCCCUCUCCG